UCUCAAUUUUAUUAGCUCAAAUCAGUUGUCAACCAUACCAUAAGUCUCUCAAAUAAAAUACUUAAGACAUAGGUAUUUAUAGUUUACCAACUACUCCUAUUAGUAACUAAUUAGGAAUACUAAACCAAAACAUAUUAGGAAUAUUGAACAAACUCAAACUAGAAAAAUAUUAAACCUGAUAUUCCUAAAUAAUAAUAAUAAUAGAAUUCCUAAA
Molecule: unclassified non-coding RNA, 214 nt
Filed under: Hevea brasiliensis (rubber tree)
Lineage: Eukaryota; Viridiplantae; Streptophyta; Magnoliopsida; Malpighiales; Euphorbiaceae
Source: RNAcentral